RNAcentral lists this ribosomal RNA (500 nucleotides) under uncultured Glomus. RNAcentral's name for it is "SSU rRNA". It matches the Rfam family "Eukaryotic small subunit ribosomal RNA", at positions 569 to 1074 of the family's 1831-position model. The record is from RNAcentral. Lineage: Eukaryota; Fungi; Glomeromycota; Glomeromycetes; Glomerales; Glomeraceae.
AGCAGCCGCGGUAAUUCCAGCUCCAAUAGCGUAUAUUAAAGUUGUUGCAGUUAAAAAGCUCGUAGUUGAAUUUCGGGGUUAGUAGGUUGGUCAUGCCUCUGGUAUGUACUGGUCUCACUGAUUCCUCCCUCCUUAUGAACCGUAAUGCCAUUAAUUUGGUGUUGCGGGGAAUUUGGACUGUUACUUUGAAAAAUUAGAGUGUUUAAAGCAAGCUAACGCUUGAAUACAUUAGCAUGGAAUAAUGAAAUAGGACGUUCGAUCUUAUUUUGUUGGUUUCUAGGAUUGACGUAAUGAUUAAUAGGGAUAGUUGGGGGCAUUAGUAUUCAAUUGUCAGAGGUGAAAUUCUUGGAUUUAUUGAAGACUAACUACUGCGAAAGCAUUUGCCAAGGAUGUUUUCAUUAAUCAAGAACGAAAGUUAGGGGAUCGAAGACGAUCAGAUACCGUCGUAGUCUUAACCAUAAACUAUGCCGACUAGGGAUCGGAUGAUGUAAUUUUUAAUG